UUGAACGCUGGCGGUAUGCUUAACACAUGCAAGUCGAACGGAAACGAUACUAGCUUGCUAGUAGGCGUCGAGUGGCGGACGGGUGAGUAACGCGUAGGAACCUGCCUGAUAGUGGGGGAUAGCCCGAAGAAAUUCGGAUUAAUACCGCAUAAUCUAUUCGUAGUAAAGUGGGGGACUUUCGAGCCUCACGCUAUCAGAUGAGCCUGCGUAAGAUUAGCUUGUUGGUAGGGUAAAAGCCUACCAAGGCGACGAUCUUUAGCUGGUCUGAGAGGAUGAUCAGCCACAUCGGGACUGAGACACGGCCCGAACUCCUACGGGAGGCAGCAGUGGGGAAUAUUGGACAAUGGGGGCAACCCUGAUCCAGCAAUACCGCGUGUGUGAAGAAGGCCUGAGGGUUGUAAAGCACUUUCAAUUGUGAAGAAAAGUUAGCGGUUAAUAACCGUUAGCCUUGACGUUAACUUUAGAAGAAGCACCGGCUAACUCCGUGCCAGCAGCCGCGGUAAUACGGAGGGUGCAAGCGUUAAUCGGAAUUACUGGGCGUAAAGCGUGCGUAGGCGGUUUAUUAAGUCAGAUGUGAAAGCCCCGGGCUUAACCUGGGAACUGCAUUUGAAACUGGUCAACUAGAGUAUGGUAGAGGAAAGUGGAAUUUCUGGUGUAGCGGUGAAAUGCGUAGAUAUCAGAAAGGAACAUCAAUGGCGAAGGCAGCUUUCUGGACCAAUACUGACGCUGAGGUACGAAAGCGUGGGUAGCAAACAGGAUUAGAUACCCUGGUAGUCCACGCCGUAAACGAUGAUAACUAGCCGUUGGGGGGGAUUUACCCUUUAGUGGCGAAGCUAACGCGUUAAGUUAUCCGCCUGGGGAGUACGGCCGCAAGGUUAAAACUCAAAGGAAUUGACGGGGACCCGCACAAGCGGCGGAGCAUGUGGUUUAAUUCGAUGCAACGCGAAGAACCUUACCUGGUCUUGACAUCCUGCGAACUUUCUAGAAAUAGAUUGGUGCCUUCGGGAACGCAGUGACAGGUGCUGCAUGGCUGUCGUCAGCUCGUGUCGUGAGAUGUUGGGUUAAGUCCCGUAACGAGCGCAACCCCUAUCCUUAUUUGCCAGCACAUCAUGGUGGGAACUAUAAGGAGACUGCCGGUGAUAAACCGGAGGAAGGCGGGGACGACGUCAAGUCAUCAUGGCCCUUACGACCAGGGCUACACACGUGCUACAAUGGGAAGGACAAAGAGCCGCGAAGCCGCGAGGUGUAGCUAAUCUCAUAAACCUUUUCGUAGUCCGGAUUGGAGUCUGCAACUCGACUCCAUGAAGUCGGAAUCGCUAGUAAUCGUAGAUCAGAAUGCUACGGUGAAUACGUUCCCGGGUCUUGUACACACCGC
RNAcentral lists this ribosomal RNA (1375 nucleotides) under uncultured bacterium. Its description in RNAcentral is "bacterial SSU rRNA". It matches the Rfam family "Bacterial small subunit ribosomal RNA", at positions 29 to 1393 of the family's 1533-position model. The record is from RNAcentral.